This is a long non-coding RNA of Gasterosteus aculeatus aculeatus (three-spined stickleback), 635 nucleotides long. Lineage: Eukaryota; Metazoa; Chordata; Actinopteri; Perciformes; Gasterosteidae. The record is from Ensembl.
UCCCAUCUGUCGACCCGUCCCGUGGCUCCUCUCUGACUCCCUACGUCCUCGUUUCCUCUCCUCGCUCGAAGCACUUGAUCCCUCCUUCUCUCCUCUUCGCCUCGCUGCCCCGCGUCCACAGAGCUCAUCGCCGUCAGCCAGAGACACUCAAACCGGAGGCAGAGCGGCCGCUGGUCUCCGGGUCACGCGUCCGUCGGCUGGACAGGACGCGUGAUGGUCUCGUUGCAGUUCCUUGUUUCCUCGUCUCCGCCCACCUUUCUGAAAGACAAUCAGCGGGCGCUCGCCCGUCCGGCGGCGGCAGCGGCGGUGUGAACCGCCGCGUUGACCCCGCGGCCGGGGGACAGCGAUCGCCAGCGCUGAAAGGGAUUCUGGGAAAGGUAGAAGCAGAGAAGACCGGCUGUGGGAAAAUUGACGCACCAUUAAGUUUAUUCCAACACUUCAUCACAGAAUAACUGUGGAUCAAUGGAUUGGGAACAAGACAAUCAGGGGGAUUCUCUUCAAAUAAAACCAGUUCACUGACUUAUUAUUGCUGCCUUACUUUAUACUUUCUUAGUAUGACUCCAAUUUAUCACCUGGAGGUUUAUCUUUUUAAAGUGAACCUGUGAGUAAUUAGUGAAGUUUAAAUUCUAUAAAAG